AGCCUCUAGAGGGCGGUCUAUGCAAAGUAUCCCUCCCCUUCAUCCCUUUAUAAUCAGAGACUCAACUCUGGUCUUCUCAUUAUAGGCAGCUUGGACUGACAUUAUAACAUUACAAGUCCUGUACUAACUAAUACUGAACAAUGAGGACUGCCUGGACUUUAGUACUCAUGUUGGUGUCUGUAAAAAGUGUUCAGGGUCAGACACUGACGGAGUCUGAAUCAGUGGUUAAAAAGCAUGGAGAAUCCCACAAACUGACCUGUACAUAUUCUGGGUUUGGUGGCAACUAUUGGAAUGCUUGGAUCAGACAGGCUCCUGGGAAAGGACUGGAGUGGGUUGCAACUAUCAGUGAUGGUGGCAGCACUUACUACCCCCAGUCUGUUCAGGGUCGGGUCACCAUCUCCAGAGACAACAGCAAGCAGCAGGUGUAUCUCCAGAUGAACAGUCUGAAGACUGAAGACUCUGCUGUUUAUUAUUGUGCCAGAGACACAGUGACACAGGAUGCUGCAGCGGUGUACAAAAACUGACUAAGCAAGCACUUC
Oncorhynchus mykiss (rainbow trout) is the source of this 539-nucleotide non-coding RNA. The record is from the annotation of a RefSeq genome assembly. NCBI's taxonomy places the organism in Eukaryota, Metazoa, Chordata, Actinopteri, Salmoniformes, Salmonidae.